AAACAACAACAACAACAAUAAUAACAACAAGAACAAUAAUAAGAGCAACAAUAAGAACAACAAGAACAUCAAGAACAACAACAACAACAUCAACAAAAAGAACACCAACACCAACACCAACAAUAAGAACAAAAAUAACUAACAUUUCUAACUUCAAUCCAUGUUUUCCUUGUCUCAUUCAAGUUGGAGAAGAGGUGAUGGAGUUCCG
RNAcentral lists this long non-coding RNA (208 nucleotides) under Lathyrus oleraceus (garden pea). RNAcentral describes it as "Pisum sativum (pea) long non-coding RNA (PSAT_LNC015840)". Lineage: Eukaryota; Viridiplantae; Streptophyta; Magnoliopsida; Fabales; Fabaceae. The record is from RNAcentral.